AAAGCGUCUAGAGACAGGAAUGGAUCCAAUUAGUUAUGUGGGUGGUUUUAUAUCUGUAAUACGCAUGCGCAUUACUCCCUCAUGGACAAAAAUCACAAAAUGGCUGCCACCAACUGAGUGUUUUUCAUAUUUCUAGUGCUGUCUUUGUAGUUCCAGGCCUUUUUGCCUAGUUGUUUGCAUGAGUUGGAUCACUGAUUAGACUAAUAGAACCUUGCACUAGAAUGGUAUCUUUUAAUUAUUCUUGUGUGAGGAAAUGGGCUUUUUAGUCUUUCCUGGGUUAUCAUUUGUUCCUUCCACCACAAUUACUCAUUUCAGAACUGUAAGUAAUAUGUCUGUCAAUUUAAGCCUCAUUAUGGGGAAUAUGAGGGAUUUAAUAGGAGGUUCAUCACUCUGAGAAUGCCCCAGGGUAGGGAUUUUUCUCCAACAAGCCUAUAGGAAGACUUCGCUAGUUUGACCAAGCAUUUUAUACCUUGCCAGCGAAUUGGAUCACAAGAGGUUGCUCAUGAGUUUUUGCUUACAUGUGUAGUAGGAGACUAGGAGCUCAAAAUGUCACGAAAAGCUAUCAGUAUUGUUCAUGGUGGUGGACGAAACUCUGGAUGCUAUAUUUGGAGAUGUUGAUAACAUUUCCUUAAGACUAGAUAUAUUAUCAACUCUUUAUUUCCCUUGGCACUACUUAAUGUGACACCAGUAUAUUUCCAGAAUGACAUUCCUGUCAAAUUAUUUUUAGAGAUGAAAAUAGGCUACAAAGUUCUUUGUAAACAUUAAUGCAAA
This 771-nucleotide long non-coding RNA is filed under the name Amphimedon queenslandica. RNAcentral describes it as "uncharacterized LOC109591603, transcript variant X2". Lineage: Eukaryota; Metazoa; Porifera; Demospongiae; Haplosclerida; Niphatidae. The record is from RNAcentral.